UACGUAGGGGGCAAGCGUUGUCCGGAUUUAUUGGGCGUAAAGAGCGUGUAGGCGGCCAUACAGGUCAGCUGUGAAAACUCGAGGCUCAACCUCGAGACGUCGGUUGAAACCGUAUGGCUAGAGUCCGGAAGAGGAGAGUGGAAUUCCCGGUGUAGCGGUGAAAUGCGCAGAUAUCGGGAAGAACACCUAUGGCGAAGGCAGCUCUCUGGGACGGUACUGGCGCUGAGACGCGAAAGCGUGGGGAGCAAACAGG
This 253-nucleotide ribosomal RNA is filed under the name uncultured bacterium. Its description in RNAcentral is "partial 16S ribosomal RNA". It matches the Rfam family "Bacterial small subunit ribosomal RNA", at positions 524 to 776 of the family's 1533-position model. The record is from RNAcentral.